This is a long non-coding RNA of Leguminivora glycinivorella, 526 nucleotides long. RefSeq lists it as uncharacterized. The transcript is spliced from 3 exons. Lineage: Eukaryota; Metazoa; Arthropoda; Insecta; Lepidoptera; Tortricidae. The record is from RefSeq and is a predicted model, not a curated record.
GUAUGGAAAUCUUGGGACAUUUUUUUUCUCCUAUCAGGAUUGAAAGACCUCGCGAUUCUGAGUAUGAAUCGCGUAAAAAAUACCCAUGUUACAAAAAAAGUGGGGUGGACAACUUUGAAAAAUGGCCCUAAUUCGCUUUCUGCAUUUCCUAUGAGUCUCGAGCCGCGUCGAAUCGCAUUCAAAAUGUAUGAGGACUCGAUUCGACGCGGCUCCAUUCCACCUUAGUGGACGCCAGGCUUAAAUCGCUCGCUCUUUUAUUUACACGGGAGCUAUCUUUUGUUCGUUUCUAUAGCCAAUAUCUCAUCGCUUACUCCUUUUGGUUAGACCAGUGCCUAUAGUCUAUGGUAUUCUUUGCUUUUUUAAAUGAUCUCUGUCCGUGUCAUCAGAUCUUUGGUGCAAUCCUAGUGUUGCCAUAUUACUGUAAACGCUAUUUUUAAUUUGCUUAAGGAAAGAAUCUAUUUUUAUUUGUCAUAUGAUUAUAUGCUACUAUUAAGUAUAUUAUAUUAGUAAAUGUUCCUUUAAUGUU